GGAUCAUAGCUUGUACUUAGUGGGGUUGUUAUUGAUAAUGAAAAUUCCACAAGAGGUCACUAAGUAUGACAGUAUUCAUUGUUUUUUAUCUUGCUUAUUUAAUAAUUGCACCUUUUUUAAUCCAAGAUUGUGUUGCUCGGCAGAUGAAUGUAUUGUCACUGUACAAUUACCAUAUUUGGAAGUUCUUAAUGACACAAAGAUGAGCUAGAUUCUCUAGCUUACUAUAACAGUUUGGGUUUUGUAUCACCAGAUCUUUCAAUAGUUAAUGUAUAAGAGAACCCAACAGUAGAAGAAAUUCAAGGCGGGGGGGAGAAUAGAGACCUCCUAGAAUGUCCAUCAUUCAUGGUUUUGGUAGUGCCUGCCCUGGACACUAAUAUAUAUAUAUAUAUAUAUAUAUAUAUAUAUAGUUCAUAUAUAUGGUUUAAAUGCCCUUUGUACCAGGGCUUUAUAUGGUUAAUAUAUCAGGAAAUGUACCUAGGAUCACACAGCUGACGAUUAGACUUGGCUGCAGUCCUGGACUCCAGACCCUACCUCCAAGAACUUACUAUAAAGUAGUUGAAUUUAACAAAUGAAUCACAUGCAACUAGAAGACAGGGCUGAACUGGCUGAACUGGCAGAGGUGAUUACUACUCUGCCUUCUUCCUUAUUCGCCAUGGACAUAAACAUCACAGAGGGUGGGUGCUCAAUGGAACCUUUCAGCAGGAGCAAAGGAUUAGCAAAGCCUGAAGAUCUUUCGGUUGAGUUGAGCUUCAGAAUUCAAGAGGAAUAUACCAAGAGUGUGUAUGACCCACAGAUGUAAGGGAUCAUAAGGACUGAGGAGAGGUGUAGGCUCUGGUGAGCUCAGAGCUUUGCUGGCUAGGCUCCAGGAUGAGGAAGACAGUAGAGCACCAGGUCAUCUUCUCCCUGCUUAUCAGUCCUUAGCAGUGGAAUGAAGAAGUCUGUAUUCAACAUACAUCUGUCUGGCUACUCCAGUGCACGUUUUCCCGGGAUACCUGCGCCUUCUAAUGAGGCUGGUGGAGGGAGUAGUCCACACAAAUUCAGCACCCUUGUUAGUCUCUCAUCCUUUAAUCCAGUGAUUUAAGAGAACACCAACUUGUCUCUAAUUUCCAUUGGGAGUUGCCUUCAUUAGAUAAACCUGUGCCAAAAGGAAAUCUUUAAAAGUAAUUUCCAUUGCCCUGAUUAUUUGUGGGUGGUAUUUUUUUGUAUGGUUUCCAAAGCACUGACCCUAAGCACAGUGGGACAGUCAUGUGGAGCUCUUGCCAACUCCUCACUCAGGGAAAAGGACAGAGAAAGGUGCCUGUAGCUUUGGUUACAACCUCCUGGAAACAGAACCAGUGGGUAGUUUUCCAGCCCCAGCGACUCAAUGUAUAUCCUUUAAGGUACACUCUAGUGGGUAUAUUUUUUCCCAGAUUCUGAACAUUGCCCCAGGACAACUGUCUGAGUUCAUUUUGGCACCAGGACAAAUGAGAGGAUGUUUCCUGUUUGCCUGACUCUUGCCCCAACUUCUUUCUCUGUUCUGUUAAGCUCUUGGCUAAAUUCUUUCCUCUUGUAUUCCACAUUUUAACUGAUGUUAGGGCACUGAGUGCAAAAAUCUGCAAACAGUUAGCUUUCAUGUUUGAACAUUCCAGUCAGAACAGACUGAUGUUAAAGUUCUCGGAGCACGGCAAGAUCCCCCUCUGCAUAAUGCAUUAAACAUUUAAUAACUCUACUAAUAAUCCCAAACACUUUUAAUGGGCCACAUGGGAGCCUUAAUGUGGUUU
RNAcentral lists this long non-coding RNA (1760 nucleotides) under Mus musculus (house mouse). Its description in RNAcentral is "long non-coding RNA chr2:136954410-136956170". The record is from RNAcentral. Lineage: Eukaryota; Metazoa; Chordata; Mammalia; Rodentia; Muridae.